Molecule: ribosomal RNA, 478 nt
Filed under: uncultured bacterium
Lineage: Bacteria
Description: partial 16S ribosomal RNA
Rfam family: Bacterial small subunit ribosomal RNA
Source: RNAcentral
GAUGAACGCUGGCGGCGUGCUUAACACAUGCAAGUCGAACGGGAAUUACUUUAUUGAAACUUCGGUCGAUUUAAUUUAAUUCUAGUGGCGGACGGGUGAGUAACGCGUGGGUAACCUGCCUUAUACAGGGGGAUAACAGUCAGAAAUGGCUGCUAAUACCGCAUAAGCGCACAGAGCUGCAUGGCUCGGUGUGAAAAACUCCGGUGGUAUAAGAUGGACCCGCGUUGGAUUAGCUUGUUGGUGGGGUAACGGCCCACCAAGGCGACGAUCCAUAGCCGGCCUGAGAGGGUGAACGGCCACAUUGGGACUGAGACACGGCCCAGACUCCUACGGGAGGCAGCAGUGGGGAAUAUUGCACAAUAGGGGAAACCCUGAUGCAGCGACGCCGCGUGAAGGAAGAAGUAUCUCGGUAUGUAAACUUCUAUCAGCAGGGAAGAUAGUGACGGUACCUGACUAAGAAGCCCCGGCUAACUACGUG